GAUGAACGCUGGCGGCGUGCCUAAUACAUGCAAGUCGAGCGAACGGACGAGAAGCUUGCUUCUCUGAUGUUAGCGGCGGACGGGUGAGUAACACGUGGAUAACCUACCUAUAAGACUGGGAUAACUUCGGGAAACCGGAGCUAAUACCGGAUGAUAUUUUGAACCGCAUGGUUCAGAAGUGAAAGACGGUCUUGCUGUCACUUAUAGAUGGAUCCGCGCUGCAUUAGCUAGUUGGUAAGGUAACGGCUUACCAAGGCAACGAUGCAUAGCCGACCUGAGAGGGUGAUCAGCCACACUGGAACUGAGACACGGUCCAGACUCCUACGGGAGGCAGCAGUAGGGAAUCUUCCGCAAUGGGCGAAAGCCUGACGGAGCAACGCCGCGUGAGUGAUGAAGGUCUUCGGAUCGUAAAACUCUGUUAUUAGGGAAGAACAUAUGUGUAAGUAACUGUGCACAUCUUGACGGUACCUAAUCAGAAAGCCACGGCUAACUACGUG
This 497-nucleotide ribosomal RNA is filed under the name uncultured bacterium. RNAcentral's name for it is "partial 16S ribosomal RNA". It matches the Rfam family "Bacterial small subunit ribosomal RNA", at positions 28 to 507 of the family's 1533-position model. The record is from RNAcentral.